GAAGUGUUAGUUAACUAAUAACACAAUCUUGUCAAGAUUGAAUUAUAGACUAAGCCCCUAUACUCUUCU
RNAcentral lists this transfer RNA (69 nucleotides) under Hemisus marmoratus (mottled shovel-nosed frog). RNAcentral's name for it is "tRNA-Asp". Lineage: Eukaryota; Metazoa; Chordata; Amphibia; Anura; Hemisotidae. The record is from RNAcentral.